UAGCAUAAUCAUUUGUCUUUUAAUUAAAGACUAGAAUGAAAGAUUCAACAUUUUGAUAAUAUAUUAAUAUUAAUCUUCUAAUUUAUAUUAAAUAUAAAAAAAUAUUUAUAAAAUAGAAAGACGAUAAGACCCUAUUGAACUUAACUUAAGUUAAACUGGGGCAGUUAAUUAAAUAAUACUUUAAUUUAUAUUAUUUUAACAAGACCUAAUACAAUUAAAUUAUAAUCAAGUUACCAUAGGGAUAACAGCGCAAUAAUUUUUUACAGAUCUUAUUUAAAAAAUAUAUUACGACCUCGAUGUUGAAUAGUAUUCUAGUAAAAGCAAAAUUUUACUUAAGCAAGUCUGUUCGACUUUUAAAAA
RNAcentral lists this ribosomal RNA (360 nucleotides) under Tenedos serrulatus. RNAcentral's name for it is "partial 16S ribosomal RNA". Lineage: Eukaryota; Metazoa; Arthropoda; Arachnida; Araneae; Zodariidae. The record is from RNAcentral.